CCGUCGAUAAAGCUCAGUUGGCAGAGCGGUGGACUGUAGAUCCAUAGGUCGCUGGUUCGACUCCGGCUCGACGGA
Molecule: transfer RNA, 75 nt
Filed under: Caerostris extrusa
Lineage: Eukaryota; Metazoa; Arthropoda; Arachnida; Araneae; Araneidae
Description: tRNA-Tyr
Rfam family: tRNA
About the family: Transfer RNA (tRNA) molecules are approximately 80 nucleotides in length. Their secondary structure includes four short double-helical elements and three loops (D, anti-codon, and T loops).
Source: RNAcentral